This 609-nucleotide ribosomal RNA is filed under the name Salmonella enterica subsp. enterica serovar Anatum. RNAcentral describes it as "partial 23S ribosomal RNA". It matches the Rfam family "Bacterial large subunit ribosomal RNA", at positions 1084 to 1693 of the family's 2925-position model. The record is from RNAcentral. Lineage: Bacteria; Pseudomonadati; Pseudomonadota; Gammaproteobacteria; Enterobacterales; Enterobacteriaceae.
CCCAGACAGCCAGGAUGUUGGCUUAGAAGCAGCCAUCAUUUAAAGAAAGCGUAAUAGCUCACUGGUCGAGUCGGCCUGCGCGGAAGAUGUAACGGGGCUAAACCAUGCACCGAAGCUGCGGCAGCGACACUGUGUGUUGUUGGGUAGGGGAGCGUUCUGUAAGCCUGUGAAGGUGGCCUGUGAGGGUUGCUGGAGGUAUCAGAAGUGCGAAUGCUGACAUAAGUAACGAUAAAGCGGGUGAAAAGCCCGCUCGCCGGAAGACCAAGGGUUCCUGUCCAACGUUAAUCGGGGCAGGGUGAGUCGACCCCUAAGGCGAGGCCGAAAGGCGUAGUCGAUGGGAAACGGGUUAAUAUUCCCGUACUUGGUGUUACUGCGAAGGGGGGACGGAGAAGGCUAUGUUGGCCGGGCGACGGUUGUCCCGGUUUAAGCGUGUAGGUGUGUGUUCCAGGUAAAUCCGGUUCACUUUAACACUGAGGCGUGACGACGAGGCACUACGGUGCUGAAGCAACAAAUGCCCUGCUUCCAGGAAAAGCCUCUAAGCAUCAGGUAACACGAAAUCGUACCCCAAACCGACACAGGUGGUCAGGUAGAGAAUACCAAGGCGCUUGA